CGGGGGGAGCAAGCGUUGUUCGGAUUUACUGGGCGUAAAGGGCGCGUAGGCGGUCAGCACAAGUCAGUUGUGAAAUCUCCGGGCUUAACUCGGAAAGGUCAACUGAUACUGUGCGACUAGAGUGCGGAAGGGGCAACUGGAAUUCUCGGUGUAGCGGUGAAAUGCGUAGAUAUCGAGAGGAACACCUGCGGCGAAGGCGGGUUGCUGGGCCGACACUGACGCUGAUGCGCGAAAGCCAGGGGAGCGAACGGGAUUAGAUACCCCGGUAGUCCUGGCCUUAAACGAUGGAUGCUUGGUGUCUGGAGUUUUGUAGUCUCCGGGUGCCGUAGCUAACGCGUUAAGCAUCCCGCCUGGGGAGUACGGUCGCAAGACUG
Molecule: ribosomal RNA, 374 nt
Filed under: uncultured organism
Description: bacterial SSU rRNA
Rfam family: Bacterial small subunit ribosomal RNA
Source: RNAcentral